AACGAACGCUGGCGGCAGGCUUAACACGUGCAAGUCGAACGGUAAGGCCCUUCGGGGUACACGAGUGGCGAACGGGUGAGUAACACGUGGGUGAUCUGCCCUGCACUUCGGGAUAAGCCUGGGAAACUGGGUCUAAUACCGGAUAGGACCACUGCCUGCAUGGGUGGUGGUGGAAAGCUUUUGCGGUGUGGGAUGGGCCCGCGGCCUAUCAGCUUGUUGGUGGGGUGAUGGCCUACCAAGGCGACGACGGGUAGCCGGCCUGAGAGGGUGACCGGCCACACUGGGACUGAGAUACGGCCCAGACUCCUACGGGAGGCAGCAGUGGGGAAUAUUGCACAAUGGGCGCAAGCCUGAUGCAGCGACGCCGCGUGAGGGAUGACGGCCUUCGGGUUGUAAACCUCUUUCAGCACCGACGAAGCGCAAGUGACGGUAGGUGCAGAAGAAGCCCCGGCUAACUUCGUGCCAGCCGCCGCGGUAA
This 478-nucleotide ribosomal RNA is filed under the name uncultured bacterium. RNAcentral describes it as "partial 16S ribosomal RNA". It matches the Rfam family "Bacterial small subunit ribosomal RNA", at positions 28 to 523 of the family's 1533-position model. The record is from RNAcentral.